UUUGAUGUCGAUGGAUUGUAUUGUACAACCAGUAACAAAAUAUCAUGAGUUUGAACGAUGAAUAUAAAUAUUAUUUUUGUAAGGAUACAUAUUUAAUGGAUGUUUAUCGCUAAUGAAUGAUAAAUCCGACAAAACAAAAACUUGAACUUAUCAGUUUGUCAAAGCCACAUCACCUUUGACCAGUUCUAAUUAUCAUGAAAUAAAAAGAUAAUAACGUGAAAGUGCCACGUAACUCAGCCAGAAGCAAAGCCCAAUAAUCCGAUAUAGGCCCAAUUAUGUUUGAAAAAGAGAAACAUUGAAAUCCAAGAUUUGUGAUAUUGUUACAGCCUUCAGUCCACUAAUGAGCUAUAAGCUGGUAUUAAUUGGGCUUUUUCAUUUUCCAAGUCCAUUAAAUACCUCUUCCAUUGUUUGUUCUUGAUAUGAAUCUCUUCUCACUUUUUUUUCUUUAUACAUAGAAUAUCAAAAGAACAAUGGAAUGUAAUGAACUUAUAGAUAUGAUAUAAUGAAGCUUAAAAGAAAUAAUAUCUAAGUAAAUUUACAAAAUGUGGGCAUUGUGUUGUUGGAAAAAGGGAAAGCGACUAAACCUAAUAAACAAAUAUCAGAUUUGUGAAGGGACAAUGGAGCCUCUUUGAUCUUUACCAAUCGUCUUUUAUUUGGUUGGACCACUCUCACCUUCCUAUUCAUUACAUCUUUCAUGUGUAACCGAAUCUUCCACAUAUCGAAACCUUUACUAAUAUCUCAAAACCUGACAAGUUGUGCAUUAAGUGAAGACGAGAUCAAUGUAUAUACGUUUAGUUAUCAGAUUUUUUAAUCAAACAAAGUUGUUGUGGAAGGGAUCGUACUUAUAUUUUCUUAUAGAUUUAAAAUACUCAACUAUUUCAGCCACCAGCACGUAGACAUUGACAUUUUCAUAUAUAUCUUAUGAUGAAAUUUUUUUUGUUAAUUUGGCCGGAUCCAACACCAUCAUUACAUAUUGAGAUGCAUGUCUUAUGUUAUGUCAUGUGCAUGUAAUAUAAUAUAUGUGGUUAAUUGUGGAAACAGUCGAUAAAUUAUGUGGAUGUAUAUAUAGCUUGAGGCUGGGAUCAUUAUUAGCUGACUUAUGCAGCCAUUGCAGAGGC
RNAcentral lists this long non-coding RNA (1118 nucleotides) under Brassica rapa (field mustard). RNAcentral's name for it is "long non-coding RNA (BRAP_LNC007312)". The record is from RNAcentral. Lineage: Eukaryota; Viridiplantae; Streptophyta; Magnoliopsida; Brassicales; Brassicaceae.